AGUGAGCCAAGAUCGUGCCACUGUGCUCCAGCUUGGGCAACAGAGAGAGACCCCGUCUUGAAAAACUAAAAGUAAAAAACAACAAAAAAAUAGGCUCCCUCCUUUGAGAAAUCUUCCCUCACAUCAACUAUUUCAGUCCCGCCUAGCCCGGUUUUUUCUUCCUUGUGCUCUAAUAUUCGUUCCAUCAAGUUUUACGACCCGAUCACGCUGUUUGUCCAGCACCCAUACUGCUUAAAGGCUCCGGUAAUCGGCGGCCCCAGCCUGUGGCGUAGACAGUUGCCAUGGAGAAAGACAGGCGUUUCCAGAGUUGACGGUUGCCAUGGAGACAAAAGUCGCCAGCACGCAAUGGGGGCGGGGCUUACAGAACGAUUUCUGCGAUUGAUCCAUAGGAAACAGAGGCAGCCUCGUGGAUCGCCUUCUCCACCCCGCAAACUGAAGCCAGAAUAAGCCACGACUUCGUGUGCCCCACUCGAGGGCCGCCUGAAGCCAGGGUUUCUCCCGCAUCGGCCAUCAGCGGACUGUCGCCCUAAGCAGCUCCCGAGGGAUUCUGGGAAGCGUAGUUCAUCAAGGAGUCUGACAGGCGCAGAAGCAUCCGUGGGGCCGGGGCAGCGUCGCCGCCAAGGUGCAGAUGCUGGUGGGGAGCAAGCUUCGCGUGGGAGGCCGACCCGAGGUCCAAGCUCCCAGUUGCCAGGUCCCUGAGGGCCCGACUGUCUAGUGACAUUCAUCAGUUGCCCUCCCGAUUUUGGGCCCAUUUUGGCCUGAAGAGUGGCCCCGAGCAGUCAGGGAUUUAGGCCACCGAGAGGCCUCUCCGAAAUUGGAGUUCCAGAAGCCAUCCUUGGAUAACAUCUCUAUAAUCUCCUGGGAGAAUCCUUCUUCCAAGAAAUCCUCCACCAGAGGAGAGUUCUUGGUCUCAGUCACAUCUGAAAGAUUUCAGACCAUUCGGCACAAGAGGGACAACCCAGCUUCCUCAUGGGGUGACUGGAGGAUUGAACGAGCAAGUCCGAAGAGCUGCUACUCAAUCGUUCAUUAAUUUAGAGCCAUCCGCUGGGCCCUGGAGCAGGAACUGUUUGUUCCAAUCACUGUGGACACGCCCCUGUCCUCACACAGCUCCCACUCUGAUGAUAAAAUGGUAGUUAGAACGUGAUGGAGCGAUGGCCAAGAUGAGUAGGAGAGGAGAUACGGAGUUCUCACAGGGUCGCAGGUCAGACUUGAAGAAGCCCCCAGGUUUGUGUUGUUACAGCAGCAGCAAGAUCCUGAAACAGUCGUCCCAAUGAGAUGCUAAGCAGGAAUUGGGUAGACGAGCCACGGGAAUCCUGUUUCUACUUACAACAAAUCCUGUCCAUCCUCUGCUCCAAACCCUCCAAUGGCCUCCGGAUUCAUCGCAUUUAAAGACAAAGGCCGGCCGGGUGCGGUGGCUCAAGCCUGUAAUCCCAGUACUUUGGGAGGCUGAGAUGGGCGGAUCACGAGGUCAGG
This is a long non-coding RNA of Rhinopithecus roxellana (golden snub-nosed monkey), 1473 nucleotides long. RefSeq lists it as uncharacterized. The record is from RefSeq and is a predicted model, not a curated record. The transcript is spliced from 4 exons. Lineage: Eukaryota; Metazoa; Chordata; Mammalia; Primates; Cercopithecidae.